RNAcentral lists this small RNA (1671 nucleotides) under Pongo abelii (Sumatran orangutan). RNAcentral describes it as "retained intron". Lineage: Eukaryota; Metazoa; Chordata; Mammalia; Primates; Hominidae. The record is from RNAcentral.
CGGCGCAGCAAUGGCCAGACCGUGAGUGCCGCUGACAGAAGUCAAGAGAAUCGGCUGGGACGGGGUUGGGGCAACAACGGGCCGGGGGGGACCCGACAGGCCAGAGCCCCUUGGGGAGGAGCGGCGGCUGGAGGCGCGAGGCUCCUCUGGAUGCCCGGAGAGCCGCUUGCGACUUAACUCCCGCCUCCUUCCCAGAUGCCGCGUCACUGCUCCGCCGCCGGCUGCUGCACACGGGACACGCGCGAGACGCGCAACCGCGGCAUCUCCUUCCACAGACUUCCCAAGAAAGACAACCCGAGGCGAGGCUUGUGGCUGGCCAACUGCCAGCGGCUGGACCCCAGCGGCCAGGGCCUGUGGGACCCGGCAUCCGAGUACAUCUACUUCUGCUCCAAACACUUUGAGGAGAACUGCUUUGAGCUGGUGGGAAUCAGGUGGGCCUCCCUGCCGGCCGACGCUGGGGUAGGAUGUGGGGCUUCCGGCGGACUGGGACAGCUGCGGGUCCUGGAAGUCCCUUGAGCAGCCUGCGUCCAAGGGGGCUGUUUCCUCUUCCCAGCUCUGCACAGUGAAACCUACCCCCAGGAUCACUGUGCCUGUGACACAAGGGGAAAACAGGAGCCUUUCCAGAGAGUAUUUUUCAGAGCUCCAGUCUUGCCAGCAAGUCCACAAAUCAAAGAAUUCUUUCUGGCUGGUCAGCCCAGCUCGGCUUGUGCAGGCUUUCCACACACCUGGACUUUGAGGAGUCCUGCAGGGAAGCGAUUGGUGUAGCUCUAACUUGGUAUUCCCCAGACGUAUUGUUUGCACGAUGCCUUCCAGCCUCCCACGGCGUUGGUGCUGGGGGCAGAUUGGCCUGGGGAGGCAGCACUUGUUCUCCAGCUCAUCUGGGUUGCUUUUCCCCACAGCGGGUAUCACAGGCUAAAGGAGGGGGCAGUCCCCACCAUAUUUGAGUCUUUCUCCAAGUUGCGCCGGACAACCAAGACCAAAGGACACAGUUAUUCACCUGGCCCCCCUGAAGUCAGCCGGCUCAGACGAUGCAGGAAGCGCUGCUCCGAGGGCCGAGGGCCCACAACUCCAUUUUCUCCACCUCCACCUGCUGAUGUCACCUGCUUUCCUGUAGAAGAGGCCUCAGCACCUGCCACUUUGCCGGCCUCCCCAGCUGGGAGGCUGGAGCCUGGCCUUAGCAGCCCCUUUUCAGACCUACUGGGCCCCCUGGGUGCCCAGGCAGAUGAAGCAGGCUGCAGUGCCCAGCCUUCACCAGAGCGGCAGCCCUCCCCUCUCGAACCACGGCCAGUCUCCCCCUCAGCCUAUAUGCUGCGCCUGCCCCCACCCGCCGGAGCCUACAUCCAGAAUGAACACAGCUACCAGGUGGGCAGCGCCUUACUCUGGAAGCGGCGAGCUGAGGCGGCCCUUGAUGCCCUUGACAAGGCCCAGCGCCAGCUGCAGGCCUGCAAGCGGCGGGAGCAGCGGCUGCGGCUGAGACUGACCAAGCUGCAGCAGGAGCGGGCACGGGAGAAGCGGGCACAGGCAGAUGCCCGCCAGACUCUGAAGGAGCAUGUGCAGGACUUUGCCAUGCAGCUGAGCAGCAGCAUGGCCUGAGGGGCUGCUGGACUGACCGAGGGGCUACCCAGCAAGACUGCAGCCUCUUCCUCCCUCAGAUCCCACCAGACCCACCAG